This 571-nucleotide unclassified non-coding RNA is filed under the name Hevea brasiliensis (rubber tree). The record is from RNAcentral. Lineage: Eukaryota; Viridiplantae; Streptophyta; Magnoliopsida; Malpighiales; Euphorbiaceae.
GAGAGAGAGGAGUCUUGAUAGUGGAUAUCAGGAAAAAAAAAAAGGUACUUCAGUACUUAAGGCCUAAGGGAAGAGAACAUCACCCAUGUGAGAGGCUGAGAGCUUAAAAGGAUACUCAAAUUAUAGGGGCCUAAAGGCUUCCAACAGCAUUUGAAUGUUGGUAACUGAGACAGCUUGGCAAACUAGUGCCUGCUUGAUAGACCAGAAAGAGUAUAUAGUAAAUCCCAUAUCUCUUGACUCUAAUGAUUUUUUUCCUUCCUUCUUCAUGUUUGCACCAAUUUAAUACAUGUAUAUAUGCAUGCCCUUGUUUCCAUGCAACUAUUUGGACGAUGAAACAACAAAAAUUAUUAGAAAGAAAGAGGAACAUGACCAAAACAAGUCCAAACUCAAAAGGUCAAAAACAGCUAGAAAAUUAAAAACAUCAAUCACCCGUGAGAUCAGUAUUUUAUAACAGCAGAAUCAAACACAAAACUUCUACUGUGCCCUUGCUCUGAAUUUGACUUACUGAAUCACGUAGAGAAAAGUAACUGUAUAUGGAUUGUGGAUACCUGAUAUAAGUUCCUUCUUGCCA